GUCUUGUUGAUUAGAAUAUCAGGUUUAUUCUGCCCAUUGAAUGAUUUUAAAAGGCUGCAGUAUAUUGACUGUACAAAGGUAGCAUAAUCAAUAGUUCUUUAAUUGAGAACUGGAAUGAAAGAGUGGAUGAGAUAUAAAUUGUCUCAAAUUAAAUAUUUGAAUUUAAAUUAAAAGUUAAAAUGCUUUUAUUAUAUUAUUAGACGAGAAGACCCUAUAGAAUUUUAUAAAAUUUAUUUUUUAAGUGAUUUAUGUAUUUAUGCUUAUUAAAUAUUUAUAUUUUACUGGGAGGGUAAUUAAAUUUAAUUAACUUUAAUGAUUUUAAAACAUAGAUAAAUGAUUUUUUUGAUUAUUAUUAUAAUUAUAAGAAUAAAUUACCUUAGGGAUAACAGCGUAAUAAUUUUGGAGAGCUCUUAUCGAUAAAAUUGUUUGCGACCUCGAUGUUGAAUUAUGAUAAAAAUUAAAUGGAGAUAUUUAAAAUUUUAGUCUGUUCGACUAUUAAAAUCAUACA
RNAcentral lists this ribosomal RNA (508 nucleotides) under Vespula squamosa. RNAcentral describes it as "partial 16S ribosomal RNA". The stretch from base 382 to 508 matches the Rfam family "Bacterial large subunit ribosomal RNA", at positions 2473 to 2600 of the family's 2925-position model. The record is from RNAcentral. Lineage: Eukaryota; Metazoa; Arthropoda; Insecta; Hymenoptera; Vespidae.